AUUGAACGCUGGCGGCAUGCUUUACACAUGCAAGUCGAACGGCAGCGCGGGCUUCGGCCUGGCGGCGAGUGGCGAACGGGUGAGUAAUACAUCGGAACGUGCCCCGUAGUGGGGGAUAGCUCGGCGAAAGCCGGAUUAAUACCGCAUACGACCUGAGGGUGAAAGCGGGGGAUCUUCGGACCUCGCGCUCUUGGGGCGGCCGAUGGGAGAUUUGCUAGUUGGUGGGGUAAAGGCCUACCAAGGCGACGAUCUGUAGCUGGUCUGAGAGGACGACCAGCCACACUGGGACUGAGACACGGCCCAGACUCCUACGGGAGGCAGCAGUGGGGAAUUUUGGACAAUGGGCGAAAGCCUGAUCCAGCAAUGCCGCGUGUGUGAUGAAGGCCUGCGGGUUGUAAAGCACUUUUGGCGGGAACGAAAAGGACUGUGCCAAGACCACGGUUCGAGGACGGUACCCGCAGAAUAAGCACCGGCUAACUACGU
RNAcentral lists this ribosomal RNA (483 nucleotides) under uncultured bacterium. RNAcentral describes it as "partial 16S ribosomal RNA". It matches the Rfam family "Bacterial small subunit ribosomal RNA", at positions 28 to 506 of the family's 1533-position model. The record is from RNAcentral.